GAACGCUGGCGGCAUGCCUUACACAUGCAAGUCGAACGGUAGAGUAGCAAUACUUGAGAGUGGCGAACGGGUGAGUAAUAUAUCGGAACGUGCCCAGUCGUGGGGGAUAACGUAGAGAAAUUUACGCUAAUACCGCAUACGAUCUAAGGAUGAAAGCGGGGGGAUUCGCAAGAACCUCGCGCGAUUGGAGCGGCUGAUAUCAGAUUAGGUAGUUGGUGAGGUAAAGGCUCACCAAGCCGACGAUCUGUAGCUGGUCUGAGAGGACGACCAGCCACACUGGGACUGAGACACGGCCCAGACUCCUACGGGAGGCAGCAGUGGGGAAUUUUGGACAAUGGGCGCAAGCCUGAUCCAGCAAUGCCGCGUGCAGGAUGAAGGCCUUCGGGUUGUAAACUGCUUUUGUACGGAACGAAACGGUGAGCUCUAAUACAGUUUGCUAAUGACGGUACCGUAAGAAUAAGCACCGGCUAACUACGUG
Molecule: ribosomal RNA, 478 nt
Filed under: uncultured bacterium
Lineage: Bacteria
Description: bacterial SSU rRNA
Rfam family: Bacterial small subunit ribosomal RNA
Source: RNAcentral